AAACUCGAUUACUCUGACUCCAUUUAAUUAAUAACUUGUAUCUCGAAUCAAUUACCAAGUAACUAGUUUAUCAUCUAUAGGAGAGAGGGAAUGAGAGGGG
Alosa sapidissima (American shad) is the source of this 100-nucleotide long non-coding RNA. RefSeq lists it as uncharacterized. The record is from RefSeq and is a predicted model, not a curated record. Lineage: Eukaryota; Metazoa; Chordata; Actinopteri; Clupeiformes; Clupeidae. The transcript is spliced from 3 exons.